UAUGUAAUGUACUCUCUCUUCGGAGCAUCGGUGACAGGUGGUGCAUGGUUGUCGUCAGCUCGUGUCGUGAGAUGUUGGGUUAAGUCCCGCAACGAGCGCAACCCCUGUUCUUAGUAGCCAGCAUUUUGGAUGGGCACUCUAGGGAGACUGCCAGGGAUAACCUGGAGGAAGGCGGGGAUGACGUCAAAUCAUCAUGCCCCUUAUGACUUGGGCUACACACGUGCUACAAUGGCGUAAACAAAGGGAAGCGGAGCCGCGAGGCCGAGCAAAUCUCAAAAAUAACGUCUCAGUUCGGACUGUAGUCUGCAACCCGACUACACGAAGCUGGAAUCGCUAGUAAUCGCAGAUCAGAAUGCUGCGGUGAAUACGUUCCCGGGUCUUGUACACACCGA
This 392-nucleotide ribosomal RNA is filed under the name uncultured bacterium. RNAcentral's name for it is "bacterial SSU rRNA". It matches the Rfam family "Bacterial small subunit ribosomal RNA", at positions 1000 to 1393 of the family's 1533-position model. The record is from RNAcentral.